UGAGUGUUUUGGCAGUAAAAACCAAUUCACGUUUCGGUCGGCCACCUAUUAUAUGCCCAGUAACUGGUAUCCCUGGUGUUCCUUCAAUGCGAGUAUACUAUCCACGUUCUGACGGUAAUGGAUAAUAUAUCUCAUGCGCUCUUUGGUUGAAGCCUUCUGUCCUUCCCCAUUUGAGUAAGAUUCGUUUUCCUUUGCGGAGUCGAAUGUCCAUCCUGUAAGUCGAUUUGCUUUUCAAGCCCUCCUUUCAGAUGAUGAGUGUUUUCGAAGUAAA
Molecule: long non-coding RNA, 271 nt
Filed under: Lathyrus oleraceus (garden pea)
Lineage: Eukaryota; Viridiplantae; Streptophyta; Magnoliopsida; Fabales; Fabaceae
Description: Pisum sativum (pea) long non-coding RNA (PSAT_LNC024988)
Source: RNAcentral